AGUCGUUUGUCGCGUCUGCUGUGAAAUCCCGAGGCUCACUCGGACUGCAGUGGGUACGGGCAGACUAGAGUGCGGUAGGGGAGAUUGGAAUUCCUGGUGUAGCGGUGGAAUGCGCAGAUAUCAGGAGGAACACCGAUGGCGAAGGCAGAUCUCUGGGCCGUAACUGACGCUGAGGAGCGAAAGGGUGGGGAGCAAACAGGCUUAGAUACCCUGGUAGUCCACCCCGUAAACGUUGGGAACUAGUUGUGGGGUCCUUUCCACGGAUUCCGUGACGCAGCUAACGCAUUAAGUUCCCCGCCUGGGGAGUACGGCCGCAAGGCUAAAACUCAAAGGAAUUGACGGGGACCCGCACAAGCGGCGGAGCAUGCGGAUUAAUUCGAUGCAACGCGAAGAACCUUACCAAGGCUUGACAUACACGAGAACACUCUAGAAAUAGGGGACUCUUUGGACACUCGUGAACAGGUGGUGCAUGGUUGUCGUCAGCUCGUGUCGUGAGAUGUUGGGUUAAGUCCCGCAACGAGCGCAACCCUCGUUCUAUGUUGCCAGCACGUAAUGGUGGGAACUCAUGGGAUACUGCCGGGGUCAACUCGGAGGAAGGUGGGGAUGACGUCAAAUCAUCAUGCCCCUUAUGUCUUGGGCUUCACGCAUGCUACAAUGGCCGGUACAAAGGGCUGCAAUACCGUGAGGUGGAGCGAAUCCCAAAAAGCCGGUCCCAGUUCGGAUUGAGGUCUGCAACUCGACCUCAUGAAGUCGGAGUCGCUAGUAAUCGCAGAUCAGCAACGCUGCGGUGAAUACGUUCCCGGGUCUUGUACACACCGCCCGUACAGGGUCAUGAAAGUCGGUAACACCUGAAGCCGGUGGCCCAACCCUUGUGGAGGGAGCCGCCAAAURGGGGGUUUA
This 900-nucleotide ribosomal RNA is filed under the name Microbacterium sp. DQ121. Its description in RNAcentral is "bacterial SSU rRNA". It matches the Rfam family "Bacterial small subunit ribosomal RNA", at positions 574 to 1471 of the family's 1533-position model. The record is from RNAcentral. Lineage: Bacteria; Bacillati; Actinomycetota; Actinomycetes; Micrococcales; Microbacteriaceae.